RNAcentral lists this ribosomal RNA (303 nucleotides) under uncultured bacterium. RNAcentral's name for it is "partial 16S ribosomal RNA". It matches the Rfam family "Bacterial small subunit ribosomal RNA", at positions 507 to 809 of the family's 1533-position model. The record is from RNAcentral.
AGCAGUAGCCACGGUAAAACGUAGGUGGCAAGCGUUGUCCGGAGUUAUUGGGCGUAAAGGGCUCGCAGGCAGUUUCUUAAGUCUGAUGUGAAAGCCCCCGGCUCAACCGGGGAGGGUCAUUGGAAACUGGGAAACUUGAGUGCAGAAGAGGAGAGUGGAGUUCCACGUGUAGCGGUGAAAUGCGUAGAGAUGUGGAGGAACACCAGUGGCGAAGGCGACUCUCUGGUCUGUAACUGACGCUGAGGGGCGAAAGCGUGGGGAGCGAACAGGAUUAGAUACCCCCGUAGUCCCUGUCUCUUAUAA